AAAUACAUAAUAAAUGAAUAAAAUAAAUUAUAAAAAAAUACAAAAAUACUGAAAUAAGCGUAAUCGUAACCACAAGUCGCGACCCAUCAAAAAAAUUUCGCAACUAUGGUUUGGGAAACGCUGAUCUAUACUGUAUCCACGAAUUAAGAUAAUAUACCCACUACUGUAGAUACUACUAUAGCCUACUAUAUACCUACUUAAGUCCGUGAUCGGGUGAUUCCACAGGAUAUUAGGUAUUAUUAUUUAUUAUUGUUAUGUGGUAUUGGGGGAUACUGUGAUAGUGGUAAUAGUUGAAUUUUUUUAGGUUAUGUUAAUUUAUCGUUUAUUUGAAGUCCGUAGAUGAUACAAUGAGCCAUAAGCGAAGGCGAUAGUGUUUCGUACCGUUUUGCUUUAUUUGAGUUUAUUAUAAUAUCGUGAUUCGUGAUGCAUUUUAUGUAUUUAAUAUUUAUGCUAAUUCCUUUUUCUUCUUGAAGUUGUUAAUGUUAGCGUUCAAACCGUCUUGCAAUGAGUGAAAAACCCUCGCAAAGUAAACCAAUCAUUGUCAGGAAUA
Molecule: long non-coding RNA, 550 nt
Organism: Acyrthosiphon pisum (pea aphid)
Lineage: Eukaryota; Metazoa; Arthropoda; Insecta; Hemiptera; Aphididae
Exons: 2
Source: RefSeq, a predicted model, not a curated record